AGAGUUUGAUCAUGGCUCAGAUUGAACGCUGGCGGUAUGCUUAACACAUGCAAGUCGAACGGAAACGAUACUAGCUUGCUAGUAGGCGUCGAGUGGCGGACGGGUGAGUAACGCGUAGGAAUCUACCUAAUAGUGGGGGAUAGCCCGGAGAAAUCCGGAUUAAUACCGCAUAAUCUCUAUGGAGUAAAGGGGCCCUCUUCUUGAAAGGUUUCGCUAUCAGAUGAGCCUGCGUAAGAUUAGCUAGUUGGUGAGGUAAAAGCUCACCAAGGCGACGAUCUUUAGCUGGUCUGAGAGGAUGAUCAGCCACACUGGGACUGAGACACGGCCCAGACUCCUACCGGGAGGCAGCAGUGGGGAAUAUUGGACAAUGGGGGCAACCCUGAUCCAGCAAUACCGCGUGUGUGAAGAAGGCCUGAGGGUUGUAAAGCACUUUCAAUUGUGAAGAAAAGUUAAUAGUUAAUAACUAUUAG
Molecule: ribosomal RNA, 470 nt
Filed under: uncultured marine bacterium
Lineage: Bacteria
Description: bacterial SSU rRNA
Rfam family: Bacterial small subunit ribosomal RNA
Source: RNAcentral